AAUUAUCAUUUGAAUUUUUACCACUGCAUUAGAAAGUUUGGGAGCAUUCAUAUUACAAUGAUUGGUUGCAAUCAUGUUGGAGAGAAAAGGAUGGUUACUAUGAGGUUGAGAAAUAAAAAGAAAAGAAAAAGAAAAAUAAUUGAAAAAGAAAAAAGAAAAAAGAAAUAGAAAAUAAAUUGUGCUAAUAAGUUGUGUGAAAAAGUGUAACAAUUGCGCAAUGAGAAAAAGGUGAAUGAAAUUUGUGAAUGCUUGAGAUUGUGAAAAGUGAACACUCCCAAUGAUUAGGCAAUAUUUUUGUUUC
Molecule: long non-coding RNA, 301 nt
Filed under: Lathyrus oleraceus (garden pea)
Lineage: Eukaryota; Viridiplantae; Streptophyta; Magnoliopsida; Fabales; Fabaceae
Description: Pisum sativum (pea) long non-coding RNA (PSAT_LNC032294)
Source: RNAcentral